Molecule: unclassified non-coding RNA, 240 nt
Filed under: soil metagenome
Description: partial contains 5.8S ribosomal RNA, internal transcribed spacer 2, and large subunit ribosomal RNA
Source: RNAcentral
AACGGUCUAUACCUGCGGUACCUGCGGAAGGAUCAUUAAUGAAACAUUUGUCGAGAGGGGUUGUAGCUGGCCUCCACCCGGGGGCAAGAAGGUGCACGCCCUGAUCGCAAAUCUUUCCCUACCUCACACACCUGUGCACGACCUGCAGCUUGGGAUGCUAACGGGGGGGGGAGGGUUUUUCCUCCUCUCGGACUCCGGAUGCCCUCGCUGUGAAUUUUUUUCACACACACAUUCAAAUGU